Lepisosteus oculatus (spotted gar) is the source of this 891-nucleotide non-coding RNA. The record is from RefSeq and is a predicted model, not a curated record. Lineage: Eukaryota; Metazoa; Chordata; Actinopteri; Semionotiformes; Lepisosteidae.
AAAAUGAUCACAGAAAGACAUCAAUAACCUCUCGUAGCACAGCGAGCAUGUGCAAGAGUGUGAACUAAAUGAUCUGAUGCAUCCAUGUGGUUUCCUAUGCAAUUACACUGGUGGUGAGGACACAAAAGAGUUCUACCAUGCAGUGCUUCCCAGUUCUUCUUUUAAAGCCUCAUUAUUUUCAAAAUACAGAGGCAAGUAAAAAAACAUGCUUUUACUUGUACGUUCAUUUAUGUGCAGGUAGUGUUUAGCUAACUGCAUUACCAAUAUACAGUACCCAGGAUUACCUUGCCACUAAUUAUUAUGGUUAGCAUUACCACAGCUCACAAUGCAGUCUUUAUUUUAUUCCUUAGAUGUUUGUGGGAUUUGCAAAAUGAAAGAACACACACUUUCACUAAAGCCCUUUUACCACCCAAAGUAUAAAAAAACCAAUUUAAAAAAUAAGUUUGGUCUAUGAUGCAUCCAAAUGACAAAUCUUGUUGCUCAAAUAGCACUGUUGCUCAAUAAAGGCUUUUUUGUCUUUUUGUUAACAGGAAUACUUUAUUCAAUAUUUAAAAGGUGAAGGAUGAUAUGCUGCUUUUCAUGGCCCAGACUGGUAAUUCUCAUAAGAUUUCAGAGAUCUCAAAGCACUUCACAUGAAGGACAAGAUCCACCAUCAUCCACCAGUUAGGUCCCAGCACCCAUGUGAAUGGUGCACAGGGAUCAUUCUGGACCAGCAGUCCCACUACACAGCAGGGAGGCCCAACUGCACCAACCCAAAGUGGAAAUUCUGGGCCAGAGGGAGGAGCAGCACUUGCAGGUGUGUUGUGGCUGGUACAUCUCAACCAUGCUGUUAUUCAAUACACAAUCACAGAAGAAAAAAAAAAGACUCAUCCUUCCCACCCCUCCCAGGUG